GUCCUCGAUCUGUUGCGGGCAGAUGAAGUGGAUGUGGCUGUCGAACCCGCCAGCGGUCAGGAUGCGGCCCUCACCGGCAAUCGCCUCGGUUCCCGGUCCAACGAUGAUGUUCACCCCCGGCUGGGUGUCGGGGUUGCCCGCCUUGCCGAUCUUGUAGAUGCGGCCAUCGCGCAGGCCGACAUCGGCUUUGUAGAUGCCGGUAUAGUCCACGAUCAGCGCGUUUGUGAUCACAGUAUCCACUGCGCCCUCGGCCCGCGUGGCCUGCGACUGGCCCAUGCCGUCGCGGAU
Molecule: non-coding RNA, 288 nt
Organism: Marivita cryptomonadis
Lineage: Bacteria; Pseudomonadati; Pseudomonadota; Alphaproteobacteria; Rhodobacterales; Roseobacteraceae
Source: Rfam